RNAcentral lists this ribosomal RNA (468 nucleotides) under uncultured bacterium. Its description in RNAcentral is "partial 16S ribosomal RNA". It matches the Rfam family "Bacterial small subunit ribosomal RNA", at positions 28 to 507 of the family's 1533-position model. The record is from RNAcentral.
GACGAACGCUGGCGGCGUGCUUAACACAUGCAAGUCGAACGGAAAGGCCCGGAGUCUUUGGGUUGUUCGACUGGCGAACGGGUGUGUAACACGCGAGUAACCUGCCCUUGACUUUGGGAUAACUUCAGGAAACUGGGGCUAACACCGGAUAGGAGCUCCCGCUGCAUGGUGGGGGUUGGAAAGUUUCGGCGGUGGGGGAUGGACUGGCGGCUUAUCAGCUUGUUGGUGGGGUAGUGGCUUACCAAGGCUUUGACGGGUAGCCGGCCUGAGAGGGUGACUGGCCCCCUCGGGAAUGAGAAACGGCCCAGACUCAUCAGGGAGCAAGCAGUGGGGAAUAUUGCAUGAUGGGCGGAAGCCUGAUGCAGCAAUGCAGGGUGUGGGAUGCCGGUCUUCGGGUUGUAAGCCGCUUUUGCCUGUGGUGAGGAGUGUGUGAGGGUAAUGGGUAGAGAGGCACGGGCUAACUACGUG